Molecule: ribosomal RNA, 447 nt
Filed under: uncultured bacterium
Lineage: Bacteria
Description: SSU rRNA
Rfam family: Bacterial small subunit ribosomal RNA
Source: RNAcentral
AGAACGAACGCUGGCGGCAGGCCUCAAACAUGCAAGUCUAGGGGGUGUAGCAAUACAUCACCGGCGGACGGGUGCGUAACACGUGGGAAUGUACCUAUUGGUUCGGAACAACGCAGGGAAACUUGCGCUAAUACCGAAUGUGCCCGAAAGGGGAAAGAUUUAUCGCCAAUAGAUCAGCCCGCGUAGGAUUAGCUAGUUGGUGAGGUAAUGGCUCACCAAGGCUCCGAUCCUUAGCUGUUCUGAGAGGAAGAUCAGCCACACUGGGACUGAGACACGGCCCAGACUCCUACGGGAGGCAGCAGUUGGGAAUCUUGGACAAUGGGCGAAAGCCUGAUCCAGCCAUGCCGCGUGAGUGAUGAAGGCCUUCGGGUUGUAAAACUCUUUCGACGGGACGAUAAUGACGGUACCCGUAGAAGAAGCUCCGGCUAACUUCGCGCCAGCAGCCGC